RNAcentral lists this ribosomal RNA (401 nucleotides) under uncultured bacterium. RNAcentral describes it as "bacterial SSU rRNA". It matches the Rfam family "Bacterial small subunit ribosomal RNA", at positions 66 to 513 of the family's 1533-position model. The record is from RNAcentral.
ACGAGACCUUCGGGUCUAGUGGCGCACGGGUGCGUAACGCGUGGGAAUCUGCCCUUGGGCUCGGAAUAACUUCGGGAAACUGAAGCUAAUACCGGAUGAUGACGUAAGUCCAAAGAUUUAUCGCCCAAGGAUGAGCCCGCGUAGGAUUAGCUAGUUGGUGAGGUAAAGGCUCACCAAGGCGACGAUCCUUAGCUGGUCUGAGAGGAUGAUCAGCCACACUGGGACUGAGACACGGCCCAGACUCCUACGGGAGGCAGCAGUGGGGAAUAUUGGACAAUGGGCGAAAGCCUGAUCCAGCAAUGCCGCGUGAGUGAUGAAGGCCUUAGGGUUGUAAAGCUCUUUUACCCGGGAUGAUAAUGACAGUACCGGGAGAAUAAGCUCCGGCUAACUCCGUGCCAGCA